UGAACUGCCGGGGGCGGUUUACAGAGCCGGGCCGGCAGGGGCUCAGGCAGGCAGCGACUGUUUGAACUUUCGCUGCUGGGCUAGCAGCGGCCUUUCGGCGGCGGCCGGCGGGACUGGGCCCCUGCGCCUUGUGGCCAAGACAAACUGACACUUCCAAUAAACUUACUAAUUCCCGGCAGGUCUCCUUUCAGCGGAAUUUUGCUUGAAGUUUCUCAGCAGGUAGCAUGUAGGUGUAUUAAUGGGUCUCUCUGAUCCCGUUACUGUGGAGGUAUUGAAAGUGCUGCCUCCUCGCCGGCCGCCAUGUUGGGUCCCCUCUUGCGUAGAGAAACUGGAACUCUGUGCACUGCUGGUGAGGAAGCAAAAUGAUGAAGCAGCUGUAGAGAACAGUACCCAGGUCCACGCUCUCACCCACAGCUCAAUCUCCCACUUCAUGGACACCAGUACGUGAUGGGCGCUGCCAUUUAAAAAUACAUUUCCUUAAAAGAAAAAAAAUGUGACCGGUAAGUAAAAGAAAGUUUAGGAUGUUUGAAGUGUGAAGAGAAUGCAGAAGAGAUGCAGCAAGUGAUGGGUAAAAAGGAGGAGAAAAAAAUAAAGUGAGAGAAAAUGAACAAGAGAAUUUGGCUGUUAAAUGGGAGAAGGAGAGAGAAAAAUGAGAAUCAAACAAAACAAAAUGAACAAAAAACUAUCAAAAGACAACACAACUAAAAAUAACUAUUUAUCAAUAGUUAACAAAUUUUUAACAAAAUGAGAAAGAAAUAUGUCCACAAACUGAUCAGCACAGCAAGAAAACACACACACACACACACACGCACAGACACACACAUAAUGAAAAAUGAAAGAAUUGUUUUUACUGAAGUAGUCAAAACUGUCAACAUGGACAAAUGGUCACUGCCUCUGCCUGACUGUUCUUUCCAUUUCUUCUGGGAUAUGUUGAAAGAGGGAGAGAGGAAGAGAGCACACACCCCAAGGGCUUGUUAAACCCUUCCUCUUUUUGUGUUGCUCACUGAGUUGCCAAUAGGAGUGGCCUAAGUGUGAGGUUAGUUGAAGUAGCUUUCAGCUUCUGUUCUCACCAGUAUAAGGUAGGAUGGAAUGGGAAGUACUGUUGAUUGGAGUUUUGUCUGCAUAGACCAGAUCAGUGCACUCCAGGAUGAGACUUCUGCAGAGUUCUGGGAGGGACGUUUUGGGUUCUGGGGAUGAGGUUUAGAUCUAAUCAGACCCUAGGGACUUUGUUGGUUGGUAACUGUUGUGGGGAGAUUUGAUCAAUAUACCCCAAGGGCCUAGCAGAUACCAGUUCCUGCUGGGAGUAUGGAUCUCAGGUGCUUUCCAAGAAUUAGGACAGGGGAACCAAUCCUCCACAGGUCUGGCACACUCUGCCACCCCAAAAUACUACCUUCCCAGGCUUAGUCCCUGAGCGUAUCAAUACCCACCUCUUCAGUUUCCUUGACCAUCUUCAGCUGGUCAUGUGAUCUGCCAGACUCAAAGGGAAGGCUAGUUGCAUUCAUCUCUGUAUUUCUGACUUAAACCCCAUGGAUACAUUAUUCUCUUUGCCCAUGCCACUUACUUUCUGCUAGAUACUGCCUACGCCACAAGGUUACUAUAGCUCUGUAGUAUAAUUUGAAGUCAGGUAUUGUGAUGCCUCUGUCCUGUGAACUCACAGAACAUAUUUUCAUAUAUUUAUGAUCUAGCAUAGAUUAUUACAUUGCAAUCAUCUUAGCUCUAUGGAAGUAAAAAGGGAAGAAAGGAAGUAAAAGAAUCCUUUAAUGAUGUAAUGUCAGGUCUGGAACGGUAAAAUAAAUAAAUAAAUUGAAUUGAAUUUUGGAAUAUGUGUGUGCUUUGUCAAUUUUCACCAGGUACUAUCAUAUUCUCAAUGAUUAGGUGAAUUUAUUCAAAUGAUCGG
RNAcentral lists this long non-coding RNA (1897 nucleotides) under Marmota monax (woodchuck). The record is from RNAcentral. Lineage: Eukaryota; Metazoa; Chordata; Mammalia; Rodentia; Sciuridae.